RNAcentral lists this ribosomal RNA (497 nucleotides) under uncultured bacterium. Its description in RNAcentral is "partial 16S ribosomal RNA". It matches the Rfam family "Bacterial small subunit ribosomal RNA", at positions 28 to 507 of the family's 1533-position model. The record is from RNAcentral.
GAUGAACGCUGGCGGCGUGCCUAAUACAUGCAAGUCGAGCGAACAGACGAGGAACUUGCUCCUCUGACGUUAGCGGCGGACGGGUGAGUAACACGUGGAUAACCUACCUAUAAGACUGGGAUAACUUCGGGAAACCGGAGCUAAUACCGGAUAACAUGUUGAACCGCAUGGUUCAACAGUGAAAGACGGUUUUGCUGUCACUUAUAGAUGGAUCCGCGCCGCAUUAGCUAGUUGGUAAGGUAACGGCUUACCAAGGCAACGAUGCGUAGCCGACCUGAGAGGGUGAUCGGCCACACUGGAACUGAGACGCGGUCCAGACUCCUACGGGAGGCAGCAGUAGAGAAUCUUCCGCAAUGGGCGAAAGCCUGACGGAGCAACGCCGCGUGAGUGAAGAAGGUCUUCGGAUCGUAAAACUCUGUUAUUAGGGAAGAACAAAUGUGUAAGUAACUAUGCACGUCUUGACGGUACCUAAUCAGAAAGCCACGGCUAACUACGUG